Molecule: ribosomal RNA, 321 nt
Filed under: Triticum aestivum (bread wheat)
Lineage: Eukaryota; Viridiplantae; Streptophyta; Magnoliopsida; Poales; Poaceae
Description: partial small subunit ribosomal RNA
Source: RNAcentral
AUGUUAAUAUUUUUAAAUAUAAAUGCGGUCAGAUCUUAUAUGCGAAGACAGAAACCUAUCGAACAGGAGAGGCCCCUGCGUCGUCCCAGGGCGACUCAGGCGGCAUCCACCAUGGUCGCCGCUAGCGCACCCCUCCCCAGCUCCCUCCCUUGUCGUCGCUGUGGGCCUGGGUCGCAGGGGCAAAGCCUCUCGCACUACACGGCGGCGGCGGGGCGGCUUCUUCCCUUCCUUUCCUCCCUCGUUGCCUUGGCUAUGGGCGCCUUGCCGGUCCGCUCCGCGGCGACGCUGGUGUUGCCUGGUCUUUGGCUGGCCGGAGGAUGA